This 770-nucleotide long non-coding RNA is filed under the name Heterocephalus glaber (naked mole-rat). RNAcentral's name for it is "lncRNA (ENSHGLG00100037441.1)". The record is from RNAcentral. Lineage: Eukaryota; Metazoa; Chordata; Mammalia; Rodentia; Bathyergidae.
GAAAGACUCCCCAGUAGACUGGUAAUUGCUCUAGAUCGUUCUCCCCAUUUUGUUUCUCAUGCUUUCCUAUUUUAAAAUGUAAUUUCUAUAUUCCUGCUUUGCUAGGAGGUUGGAGAUGGGAGGGAGAUAAUAUAUUGAUCUGUUGAGAGAAGUUUUGUAUUUCGACCAGUGAUCCUGAACUUUGAGCUAGAUAAACUAACUGAAUCAGAGUUUGGAUUAUCUCUCCUGGAAAGGGAACAAGUAUGUUCUAUUUGUGGAAAGAAAUUUGCAUCUAAAUAGUUGGGUAGCUGAGCAAAUAUUGUACCAGAGACUGCUAUCUGUCUACCAAAUUCCAUUCUGUCCUUCCUUUAUGGCAAAUACAGAUUAAGGUCUCCUGUGAGGUUUGUUUCCUGGAGGAGUCCAGAAAGAAGCUGUUCUCUGCUGAACCAUGGGUCAAGGAAAAUGUUGACAGAACUAUCAACUCUCAAUUUCCUAAACUUGGCAGGGUUCAAACUUCCAAGACAAAGCUGAUAGUGUCAAGGUUCCAGGCCUUCUGGCGGAAGCAGGCCUUGAAGCCUGCGUAUGCGUCACUGGAUUUAAUCCUUCUAGCAACACCGUGAAAUCUGUAUCCUUCUCUGUAUUCCUUAUGAGAAAUUUGAAGCUUGGAGAAAAUAAAUAAAGCUGAACAUUUUCUCUUCACCCAUUGUGGCUUUCUGUUUCCUUCUUUUAAAGAAAGUUCUUUAUGAAGCUAUGCAUUUAGCGUGAUCUUAUACAUUUUUAUCCAAUCUAGU